Molecule: unclassified non-coding RNA, 1399 nt
Filed under: Leishmania donovani
Lineage: Eukaryota; Euglenozoa; Kinetoplastea; Trypanosomatida; Trypanosomatidae
Description: gene:unknown
Source: RNAcentral
GGGCAUCAUACCAAGCCAACCAACGCGCCUAAACGACGCAUGAAAAACGCGCACGAGCCUGGGCGAUGAGAGGAGGAGGGGGGAGAGCGUGGCAACGCGCACGGUGUGCGGCCGUGUGUCUUUUCGUCCUCUUCGAGUCGCUUGUGACACGUCCCGUUCCAGUGUCCCCCCUCCUUUCAUCGCCCAUUCUCGUGCGCGUUUUUCAUGCGUCGUCUCUCCCUCCUCUUUUUGUUGCGCGUGUCGCCCUGGAGCUCCCGUCAUGACGUGGGCCACCGGGCCGUGCGUGUGUGGUGGCAGGCUCUCGGGGUGGUGGUGGCGGACUCUUGGUGUGUGUGGGGGGGGGCAGGUGUCUGGGGGCCGGCGCUGCGCCGGCGAGGCUUGCGGCCAUGAUGCCGCUUGCACCGGCUCGCUACGACUCGUGCCGGCGGUCGAAAGAAGGAGCGCACGGAUGCGCCGGCUACUUGUCUGCCUUCGCUGCGUUGCGGUGGCGUGGGGCGCGAUGCGGGGGCGAGCCUGCGCUGUAUGCGGUGACGUGUUGCGGUGGGCUUGGACGGCGCCAGGCGGUGUUGGUGGGGCCCGGUUUCCUGGACAUGGCCGUCGCGCACCAGAGGUAGGUGCGCUGUGGGCUGUGCAUGCGCCUCUUCAUUGCGCGGCUCGCGUGCGGAGCACGACCACGUUUUGGGGUACCGAGACGCUUGCUUCAUCUCUGUUCUCUCUGUCGUACUUUUUUUUCCUCCGUUCUUCUUGGGUUUCUCAUUGUGUGCCACGCGCCGUGCUGAGCGUCUCCGGGGAGAGGGACGAGAGGCUGCAUGGGCGCGGGGCUCUUUCUUCUUCCACACUUUCUCUUCCCUUGUGGGGAGGGGGGGCCUCCCCGCUCGCCCGCCCCCCCCCCCCCCCACACACCCUUAUUGCGCUUACUGUUUCUGGACGUAUAUCCCUGUGUGUUCUGUGCGCCAUCAUGCAUAUAUGUGUAUCUAUAUAUGUACAUCUAUCUAUAUGUCUGUGUGCAUGCGCCUACCUUUGCUUGGCCGGCUCUUCUUCAUUCGACGCACCUGCACCUCUCACCAUCUCCGCCUCCCCGGGCUCACAGGCAGGCGUGCCGGCGUGCACGGGUGCACGCCUCAUGCGCACCGGUGUCUGGACGCGCCCGAAUACGUGCACAUAGGCACUGCCGCACGUCCGUCGCUCGACUUGAUAUAUAUAUAUAUAUACAAGUGUGUGUAUAUGUGGUUAUAUUGCACAUGCGUGUGCGCGUAGGUACGCCUUGUUCUCUUGCGCCAUCUUCCCUUUUCUUGUUUCGACGUGCGCGUGUGCUGUGCGAGGUAUGUCGUGGUGGUGCCGACACCGGCUUGUGUGGUCGUCGGUGCGGCGGGCAUGAAUGAUUAAGAGGAAGACGAAC